GUGGGGAAUCUUGCGCAAUGGGCGAAAGCCUGACGCAGCCAUGCCGCGUGAAUGAUGAAGGUCUUAGGAUUGUAAAAUUCUUUCACCGGGGACGAUAAUGACGGUACCCGGAGAAGAAGCUCCGGCUAACUUCGUGCCAGCAGCCGCGGUAAUACGAAGGGGGCUAGCGUUGCUCGGAAUUACUGGGCGUAAAGGGCGCGUAGGCGGACAGCUUAGUCAGAGGUGAAAGCCGAGGGAUCAACCUUGGAAUUGCCUUUGAUACUGGCUGUCUUGAGUUUGGGAGAGGUGAGUGGAACUCCGAGUGUAGAGGUGAAAUUCGUAGAUAUUCGGAAGAACACCAGUGGCGAAGGCGACUCACUGGCCCAAUACUGACGCUGAGGCGCGAAAGCGUGGGGAGCAAACAGGAUUAGAAACCCUGGUAGUCC
This 425-nucleotide ribosomal RNA is filed under the name uncultured bacterium. RNAcentral's name for it is "partial 16S ribosomal RNA". It matches the Rfam family "Bacterial small subunit ribosomal RNA", at positions 354 to 796 of the family's 1533-position model. The record is from RNAcentral.